AGCAGCCGCGGUAAUUCCAGCUCCAAUAGCGUAUAUUAAAGUUGUUGCAGUUAAAAAGCUCGUAGUUGAAUUUCGGGAUCAAUUAAUUGGUCGUGCCUAUGGUACGUACUGAUUUUAUUGGUUUCUCCCUUCUGACGAACCAUGAUGUCAUUAAUUUGGUGUCGUGGAGAAUCAGGACUGUUACUUUGAAAAAAUUAGAGUGUUUAAAGCAAGCUAACGCUUGAAUACAUUAGCAUGGAAUAAUGAAAUAGGACGUUUGAUCCUAUUUUGUUGGUUUCUAGGAUCGACGUAAUGAUUAAUAGGGAUAGUUGGGGGCAUUAGUAUUCAAUUGUCAGAGGUGAAAUUCUUGGAUUUAUUGAAGACUAACUACUGCGAAAGCAUUUGCCAGGGAUGUUUUCAUUAAUCAAGAACGAAAGUUAGGGGAUCGAAGACGAUCAGAUACCGUCGUAGUCUUAACCAUAAACUAUGCCGACUAGGGAUCGGAUGAUGUUAAGUUUUUAAUGACUCA
This 508-nucleotide ribosomal RNA is filed under the name uncultured Glomeraceae. RNAcentral's name for it is "SSU rRNA". It matches the Rfam family "Eukaryotic small subunit ribosomal RNA", at positions 569 to 1078 of the family's 1831-position model. The record is from RNAcentral. Lineage: Eukaryota; Fungi; Glomeromycota; Glomeromycetes; Glomerales; Glomeraceae.